This 588-nucleotide ribosomal RNA is filed under the name Bipolaris woodii. RNAcentral describes it as "partial large subunit ribosomal RNA". It matches the Rfam family "Eukaryotic large subunit ribosomal RNA", at positions 36 to 639 of the family's 3401-position model. The record is from RNAcentral. Lineage: Eukaryota; Fungi; Ascomycota; Dothideomycetes; Pleosporales; Pleosporaceae.
UUGCAUAUCAAAAAGCGGAGGAAAAGAAACCAACAGGGAUUGCCCUAGUAACGGCGAGUGAAGCGGCAACAGCUCAAAUUUGAAAUCUGGCUCUUUCAGAGUCCGAGUUGUAAUUUGCAGAGGGCGCUUUGGCUUUGGCAGCGGUCCAAGUUCCUUGGAACAGGACGUCACAGAGGGUGAGAAUCCCGUACGUGGUCGCUAGCUAUUGCCGUGUAAAGCCCCUUCGACGAGUCGAGUUGUUUGGGAAUGCAGCUCUAAAUGGGAGGUAAAUUUCUUCUAAAGCUAAAUAUUGGCCAGAGACCGAUAGCGCACAAGUAGAGUGAUCGAAAGAUGAAAAGCACUUUGGAAAGAGAGUCAAACAGCACGUGAAAUUGUUGAAAGGGAAGCGCUUGCAGCCAGACUUGCUUGCAGUUGCUCAUCCGGGCUUUUGCCCGGUGCACUCUUCUGUAGGCAGGCCAGCAUCAGUUUGGGCGGUGGGAUAAAGGUCUCUGUCACGUACCUCUCUUCGGGGAGGCCUUAUAGGGGAGACGACAUACCACCAGCCUAGACUGAGGUCCGCGCAUCUGCUAGGAUGCUGGCGUAAUGGCU